This 341-nucleotide unclassified non-coding RNA is filed under the name Mortierella sp. Its description in RNAcentral is "partial contains 5.8S ribosomal RNA, internal transcribed spacer 2, and large subunit ribosomal RNA". Lineage: Eukaryota; Fungi; Mortierellomycota; Mortierellomycetes; Mortierellales; Mortierellaceae. RNAcentral also lists the same sequence under 2 other names. The record is from RNAcentral.
AACGCAUAUUGCGCUCUUUGGUAUUCCGAAGAGCAUGCUUGUUUGAGUAUCAGUAAACACCUCAAAGCCUUUUUUUUGUUAAAAAGGAUUUGGACUUGAGCAAUCCCAACAUUUUUUAAGUAAAGUGGCGGGUUGCUUGAAAUGCAGGUGCAGCUGGACAUUCUCCUGAGCUAAAAGCAUAUUCAUUUAGUCCCGUCAAACGGAUUAUUACUUUUGCUGCAGCUAAUAUAAAGGGAGUUUGACCAUUUUGGCUGACUGAUGCAGGAUUUUCACAAGAGUACUUCAAAACCACUCUUGUUAAACUCGAUCUCAAAUCAAGUAAGACUACCCGCUGAACUUAA